Molecule: long non-coding RNA, 1824 nt
Organism: Dicentrarchus labrax (European seabass)
Lineage: Eukaryota; Metazoa; Chordata; Actinopteri; Moronidae
Exons: 4
Source: RefSeq, a predicted model, not a curated record
CCCAGCAAUCUAAAACUCACUCCUUGGCUUUGUGUACUCCUCCUCCUCUUCUUCCGCCAAUAUGGAACAAAACUCAGAUCUGCACUGGUCCAGACGUGGGAUUGGCUGUCUCUGUUUUGUUCCUGUAUUCCUCCUUCUGUUGUUGCUUUCCCUCUGAGGUUGACUGUCAUUAGCUACAGAGAGAGCUGCAGGAUGAGGGGAGGAGGUGGGGGAUGGCAGGUAUGUUCGGAGACUGAGGAUGAUGAUGAUGGCCCUCAGGCUUGAUUUUGCAUUUAGCUGACGCUUUCAGAGGGGGAGAGGAUGCAAUGCCUUGCAGAAAGAUGAUUUUGCAGUCCAUGUGAACUUGUGGCUUGCUGAGGACAGGAGAGUGAGAUGUGUUCAUCAAGGUUUCCGUGCGACACUUGUUGUAUGCCAGGAGGCACAGCGGUCACAGGGGGUGCAGGGGCACAGAUGGCAGCGCAGGUGUGGAGAUGCCACUACAUCAAGCACAGUCAUCAACCCCAUCUAAACACACUCUGGUGUGCGGCCAUUUCCACACACACACACACACACACACACACACACACACACACACACACACACACACACACACACACACAUUUUAUAUCAGAUCAAGUGACUCGUAAGCUAUGACUUUAAAAUCAUUUCUUUAGUCUUUUCUUCCCUACAUCUGACAGGAAGCUGAGCUGUCAGCAGUCCUGUUCUGUUCUGUUAAUAAUUGAACCCAAAGUUGAGUCAGAGUGGCCGUAGUUCUGACACAUUAAACAUUGAUUUUGAGAGUAAAUGCAUCUUUUAUUGUAACAUGUAACAAUCCCCUCUGUCCCACUUUACUUUCACAUCAACACUCUGGAUGACAGCUUUCCCAGAGUAGAGAUUUUUUCGAGCGUUCCUUUUCCAGCAUAUCACUUGUUUGUCAUUUGAACUGGCAAGCAUGGAGGAGUAAACAAAACAAGACAGCCUGAAUGAUACCCUGAAUUGGCGUCGCAUGGGAGAAGUUAGAAUGGAUGUUCGGAAAGUGACAGCUCUCCUGCUUGACACUUAAAUAUUUUGCAUUCUUCUUGGAGUACAUAUGUUUUUUAAACAAUGAAUGAUGUUCCAAUGUCACAGUUUUUGUCAAGGGUGUGCUCUUGUGCAAGAAAACUUUCUUCAGUCUAUCCGUUUCUGCCAAAUCUUUAUUCAUUAUCAUCUACAUAACAAUAAUGAUUGUUAUGAAAUUCUAAUAGGUCUUUAAGUGGUAAUACCUAUAGAAGCUGUGUUGGUCUCAUUUAACAUAUUUUUGACCCUUAACCGAGAUAAUGAGCAAAUGGAGCCCUGUACACUAAUGUGUGUGUACUGAUAGCAGUAACAGCAUUUAUAAACCACUGUACUGGAUUAAUUACCUAAAAGAGUGCUCUUCAUGCCCAAUUCCUAAGAGAACAGGGUGAUUUGAUUCAUAAUGAGGCUUGCUCAUUACAAUGACAAGUCCUCAUGGCUCAUCAGCCUGACUUUGAGAAGGCAAACUCAAGUGCAGAGUUUGCAGCCUUUACUUAAGCUUUUAUCAAUAUCAAAUUAACAAUAAAAGCUAUGAGGUCUUAGAAGUUUAACCUCCUCAUUCGGGGGUGUCAAAUAUUAGUAUUCUGCCACUGACAGUAAUUGACUGUGGAUUUGUUUUGAUUGAGAACUUGUGUGACAACCAGAAAAACAUUGAUAACAUAAUAUGUUGUGUGAAGUGGCAAUGUUUGACUUGAACAAACUGUAUGUAAGUGCCAAACUAAAAUGCAAAGACACUUGAUAUCAUCACUUCUCAUAUUGCAAAGAAAUUAGUAAUAAUAAUCUUAACAGGCA